ACAAGAUGAAAGAAGUGGUAAUACCCUGUAAAAUUUUCUGUGCACUGGAAAGCCCAGCCCCCUGGGUGUCAAUCAAAUCCUCCUAACAUGUAGGAUGCGGAAGUCAAGAGGAGGACGAUUGUAGUUACCUCGUUCCAUUUUUGUUUUAAUGUUUACUGUUUGCUCUUCUGUUAGGACCGUGCUUUUUCUGUAUGUAUUCGUGUAGAGGUUCUUGGCCAGGUACAGUAACACGAGAGUGUACCAAGCAGGCUUUUCUGAAGGUUUAUAAGGCUGUGGCUGCUUGCAGAAAAUUAUCCUAGAAUGCAUAGCUUCUGGUACAUCUUGGUAUUUGUGUCUGGAUUCCUCAAGUGCCACUGCAAUAAUGCAACAAGCGGCUCCGAGGUUAGAUUGCUUCUCGUGUCCUUUGAUGGAUUCAGGGCUGACUAUCUUGAGCGAUACAACUUUCCAAACCUGAAGAAAAUGAUUGAUGAUGGGGCACAUGUGAAGCAUCUAACAAAUGUGUUUGUUACUAAAACUUUCCCAAAUCACUAUUCCAUCGUCACAGGCCGCUAUGCAGAAAGCCAUGGUAUUGUGGCCAAUUCAAUGUAUGAUGCAGCCACCAGAAAGAAUUUUUCAGUCUUCGCAGACCAAGAUCCAUUUUGGUGGAAUGAGGCUACACCAAUUUGGGUAACUAAUCAGCAACAAGGGCACAAGAGUGGAGGAGUAAUGUGGCCUGGUACUGAUGUGUCCAUACAAAAUACAACCCCUUCCUACUACUUGAAUUAUGACCACAAUGUCACAUUCAAUAAGCGAGUUGACCACAUUAUAAAAUGGUUUACCAACUCAACAGAACCCAUUAAUUUUGGUGCAUUGUACUGGGAAGAGCCUGAUUCCACUGGACACCAUUAUGGACCCGAAAGUCAACAGCUAGUCAAUAUGUUGAAAGAAGUGGAUGAUCACAUUGGCUAUUUAAUUGAGCAACUUCAAAAGACUGGACUUUGGAACACAAUUAAUGUAAUUCUCACCAGUGACCAUGGAAUGGCUCAAUGUUCUAAAGACAGAGUUAUAGAAUUGGAUAAAUGUAUUGGACGUGAUAACUAUACAGAGGUGACUCACUCUCCAGUAACAGCUAUAUUGCCCCAUAACAACAUAAGUUAUGUGUACAAAUUGUUGUUGAACUGUGACAGUCACAUGAAGGUAUAUUUAAAAGAAGAUAUUCCAGACCGUUUUCACUACAAAUACAAUGAAAGGAUUCAGCCAAUUCUUCUUGUUGCUGAUGAAGGGUGGACAAUUGUUCAGAAUGGAUCAAUCACCAGGAUGGGUGAUCAUGGUUACGAUAAUGCUUUACCCAGCAUGCAUCCUCUUCUGGUAGCUCAUGGACCAGCAUUUCGAAAGUCUUACAAAACUAACACCAUUAACAGUGUUGAUAUCUACCCGUUAAUGUGCCACAUCCUGGGAUUGAAGGAGGAGGCUAACAAUGGAACCUUUGCAAAUUAGAUGAUAUGAUGAAAUGCAGAUAAAACAACCUGGUUUUCCGUCUCUAACUAUAUCCAAAGCAUGCUCCAACCCAAGAGAAGAACAUAGGUCAUUCCCAAGUUUACCUCCAGAUCUCAAGCCCUCAUGGGAUUUCUAUGGAUAAUUCAAAUGGAUACAAUAUGAAAAAGAGAACAAGCAUUUCAAAGGUGUCUGAAAAAUUGCAUCACUCCAGUUGUUCUUCACCAGGAUUUUUGCUGUUUCUCCCUCUCUUUCUGUUUGGCAUUACUUACAGUUCAUUUGUUUUUAUAUAGCUCUCAUGUUCUUUAUUCCAUUUUUUUCCCUUCCAACUCUUAGACAUUACAGUUAUCUCUCUCCAGACGAAAAAUAAGUAGAUGCUCCUGUUGCAUUUUUGGUGUCUACAUCAUUUUAUUUCUAGGCUACUACUUGUUUUUCAGUCAAAUAAAUUAAUAAUAGAAUACUGCCUUUGAAAUAACCUUUUGCAUAAUAGAUUGCAACUGAAGUGCCUGGGAUAUGUGAUCUGGUAGUAACCAGAGACAAAAUGACGCAUCCCACAACUUGAUUAAGAGGAAGACAUGUAGAAGAUUGUUUUGAUGAAGUGUGUCUUAUUACCAUUUCAGAUGGUGGAAUUUGAUUUAAAAAGUCUGGACCUAAUGUCAUCUUAUAAGAGUCAGUGUCAUAUUUUGGUAAUAUUCCUGUGAAAUACCUUGGGAUAUUUAAUUACAUUGAAGGCACUACAUAAAUUUAUUUACUCUGACUGGAGGUCUUCAUUUUGAAGGUGGAAAGGGAGAUAGAGCUGAACUUCACAAAUGUGGUCCUCCAGAAACAAUGAAAAAAUAAAGAAAAUCAAUGUCAAUAAUCUGGUCUCAAGGAUCUAGAUACAGUGCUAAAAAAGUUCAACAAUUUCGCCUAAGUGGGCAAGGUGAGAAACUAUUUCUUCAAAUAGUAUUUCCUCACAAAACCACCAAUCUCUCACAUUUCACCAGUUACACCAGAACAAUUGUUCACCAGUCAGCAAUCUCUAGCAAUCAAUAAUUCUGUCUAACAUUCAUUCAAUCCAAUUCAUCACACACAUUUACCACUGCUGCAAGUCUUAUAUCUGCUUCUUGAAGAUUCUUUUUGCUUCCAGUUAUUCCACCAUGACAGGUACAUUAUGAAAAUGCAUUGCAACACAUUCACUGGCACUCUUCCCUACCUUGUGCAAUACAAGAUUGUUAAUAACACUUAGGAAAAUAAAUAGAGGUCAAGCAUAUUUCAAUAUCCCCACUCUCUCGUAGGAGAUGGAGCUUGACUAUUAAUGAGGCUAUGUUGAAGCCAUGGCAUCUGGUGUUGAUGAUUGAUGGAGUUGUCCAGUAUGACCUGAAUGUACAUACCAUCCUUUACACACUGUCAGAAAUAACACUUCACCUUCGUGAUGCAAUCUUGGAUAACAUGCAAGCUGCAGAUUAUAUCGCAAUAUACCUCUAGCUUUAUGUGCACUUCCUCUUCACUCAUCCUAACCCUCCCCUUGUGAAAAACUACUUUCAGAGAUUGAAAUACUUUCACCUGGCCAGUCAGCAUUGCCUAAAGCUAAAGACCAAGAGGAGGGGCACUUCAAAGCAACAAUACUGUCACUUGAUCUGACACACAGUCGGGUACUGUUGAAGGACCCUUAAUAAUUUGCAGUAGUGUCUCUUACAGUUUGUACACUCUGUUGUCACUAUGGGUCAAGUGAGUGAAUGUUGAGGCUAUUAGAUGGAUUCCCAGUCAAAUGGGCUACUUUAUUCUGGAUAUUUGUAGAUGAUUGACAUGCUCUGGGGAGUCAGAAUAUGUUUUGACAGAAUUUCCAGUUCUUAAAUUACCAGUAUUUAUAUGGUUCACUCAAUUGAAGUUCUGAUGAAUGGUGACCUCCCCUGGAUGUGGUGAGAGAUUCCAUGCUGGGAAAGCCAAAGAAUGUCUAAGGAAGAUGAUUAGGUUCUUUCUUCUUGGAGACGAUCAUUUCCUGGCACUUUGAUGAUGCAGCAAAUAGCCUAAACGUUUAGAAAGCAAUUGCCAUUGGAUGAAAUGGCUCUUUUUGCAACUAAAUUGAUUCAAAGUGUCCGUUUGCUUUAACUUGUAAAAGUUCCAAGAACAUCAGAUGAUUGAUAUGACUGUUACAUCGCACAAACACAAAAAACAGGUAGGCACUAGUCAUGAGCUUUUGAAGAGACCAUUGGGCCACAUUACGUUGAUGUCAAGUUAAGAGAUUCAUUAAUUGUAUUGGAAGUGGUGAAUUCAUAAUUGCUCAGCUUGUAGAACUAUGGAAAAUAAUCUCCAUAUGGCCAGUGGUAUAUGCUUGUAAUUUUUGCCCAGGUGAAGGAUAGGAUAACCAAAUGCUGCUGACGUUUUUGGACCUAAAAGCUGUAAUUCUACAGCAUCUUUGCUAUACCCAAGAGAAGAAAACAUCUUUUAGUCUUUGUGCUUCCUCCUGCUCAGAUCUUUUAACCUUGGAGUAGCACUGGAGUGGAUUCCUAUCUUUCUACAAUCAUCGAAUGUCCUUAUAAGAAGGAAAUCUUGUUGCCCUCAUCUGGCCUACAUGUGACUCCAAAUCCACAAAUGUGGUUGACGCUUAACUGCUCUCUGAGUGAUUUGGAUGGGCAAUAAAUUCCGGCCUAGACAGCGCACCCACAUCCUGUGAAUAAAUAAAAAAUGCUCGACAUCUUUCGUAGUCUCCUUACUUUUCUCUUGUCCACCCAUAAUUCUUUCAAGAAUUCGGAAAUAAAUAGGAUUGCAGAAAGAAAAUUAAC
Chiloscyllium plagiosum (whitespotted bambooshark) is the source of this 4238-nucleotide RNA transcript. It is a transcript of the gene named ectonucleotide pyrophosphatase/phosphodiesterase 4, with no coding region annotated. NCBI's taxonomy places the organism in Eukaryota, Metazoa, Chordata, Chondrichthyes, Orectolobiformes, Hemiscylliidae. The record is from RefSeq and is a predicted model, not a curated record.